UACGUAGGGGGCAAGCGUUGUCCGGAUUUACUGGGCGUAAAGAGCGCGUAGGCGGAAAUUUAAGCGUGGCCUGAAAGCCCCCGGCUCAACCGGGGAGUGCGGCUGCGAACUGGGUUUCUUGAGGACGAUAGAGGAGAGUGGAAUUCCUGGUGUAGCGGUGAAAUGCGUAGAUAUCAGGAGGAACACCCGAGGCGAAGGCGGCUCUCUGGGCAUUAACUGACGCUGAGGAGCGAAAGCAUGGGGAGCGAACAGG
This 253-nucleotide ribosomal RNA is filed under the name uncultured bacterium. Its description in RNAcentral is "partial 16S ribosomal RNA". It matches the Rfam family "Bacterial small subunit ribosomal RNA", at positions 524 to 776 of the family's 1533-position model. The record is from RNAcentral.